RNAcentral lists this ribosomal RNA (332 nucleotides) under uncultured bacterium. RNAcentral describes it as "bacterial SSU rRNA". It matches the Rfam family "Bacterial small subunit ribosomal RNA", at positions 568 to 898 of the family's 1533-position model. The record is from RNAcentral.
CGUGUAGGCGGCCAUGCAAGUCGGGUGUGAAAGCCCUCGGCUUAACCGAGGAAGUGCGCCCGAAACUGCAUGGCUCGAGUACCGGAGAGGAUGGCGGAAUUCCCCAAGUAGAGGUGAAAUUCGUAGAUAUGGGGAGGAACACCGGUGGCGAAGGCGGCCAUCUGGACGGAUACUGACGCUGAGACGCGAAAGCGUGGGGAGCAAACAGGAUUAGAUACCCUGGUAGUCCACGCCGUAAACGAUGAGAACUAGGUGUCGUGGGUGUUGACCCCCGCGGUGCCGCAGCUAACGCAUUAAGUUCUCCGCCUGGGAAGUACGGCCGCAAGGCUAAA